RNAcentral lists this ribosomal RNA (402 nucleotides) under uncultured prokaryote. Its description in RNAcentral is "bacterial SSU rRNA". It matches the Rfam family "Bacterial small subunit ribosomal RNA", at positions 355 to 774 of the family's 1533-position model. The record is from RNAcentral.
UGAGGAAUAUUGCGCAAUGGGGGCAACCCUGAUGCAGCGACGCCGCGUGAGCGAUGAAGCCCUUCGGGGUGUAAAGCUCUUUCGGCAGGGAAGAUGAUGACGGUACCUGCAGAAGCAGCUGCGGCUAACUACGUGCCAGCAGCCGCGGUAAUACGUAGGCAGCAAGCGUUGUUCGGAGUUACUGGGCGUAAAGGGUGUGUAGGCGGUUCUUUAAGUUUGGUGUGAAAUCUCCCGGCUCAACUGGGAGGGUGCGCCGAAUACUGAGGGACUCGAGUGCGGGAGAGGAAAGUGGAAUUCCUGGUGUAGCGGUGAAAUGCGUAGAUAUCAGGAGGAACACCGGUGGUGUAAACGGCUUUCUGGACCGUAACUUACGCUGAGACACGAAAGCGUGGGUAGCAAACA